This 646-nucleotide long non-coding RNA is filed under the name Zonotrichia albicollis (white-throated sparrow). RNAcentral describes it as "lncRNA (ENSZALG00000014893.1)". Lineage: Eukaryota; Metazoa; Chordata; Aves; Passeriformes; Passerellidae. The record is from RNAcentral.
GGUCAGAGGCAAAGUUCCUUUUCCAGAAGAUCUGUACCAACGUGGAAAGCCAGAAUUGAAAGGACCUUCCCCUGCUGGGCAGGAAUUUCAGAGAUUCCCAUGGGAAGGGACCAGGAUUAUCUGGUUCCACAUCACAGGAACUGCAAAGGAGGGCCUACAAAAGGUGAAUUUUAACGAGCAACCAACCUCAUGGAGGCAUCUGAAUCACACCCCCAGAGCUGCACAACCUUCCCACUGCACUGUGCACAGACCUGGCACCCUUGGAGCCUCCAAAGGAGCACCAGGGCCAGGGAAAGGCCCCAGUUUCCAUGUCCAGCUGCCAAGAUCUCCAUUAGGAGGUUUGUGUUUCCUUCCAACAUUAAAGAAUCUCUCUAACAUCUGUAGCGAUGAGCAGUGAAGAGUGUCAGCUCUGCUUCUGAAACAAGCAGUGCCACCAUCUGAAGGAGGAAAAUGUGAAAUAAUGAAUAUGCUUCUGCAGAUCAGGCUGCUGUGUGUGCCAGGGGAUGUGCAAAGCCUCGUGCCAGGCUUGAUCUCCAGAUUUCCCCUCUCCACCUCUAAGGAGGGCAGGUAAGUAUGUAAAACUUGGAGAAGGCAUUGCCCAGAAUGUGAACCCUGGCACAGAGAGCCACAGAGCACUGCAAGGGAU